GAUCAUGACUCAGGAUGAACGCUGGCGGCACGCCUAACACAUGCAAGUCGAACGGAGAAUAUUGGAUUUAUUCGAUAUUCUUAGUGGCGGACGGGUGAGUAACACGUGAGCAACCUACCUCUGAGAGAGGGAUAGCUUCUGGAAACGGAUGGUAAUACCUCAUAACAUAAUUGGAAGGCAUCUUUUGAUUAUCAAAGAUUUAUCACUCAGAGAUGGGCUCGCGUCUGAUUAGCUAGAUGGUGAGGUAACGGCUCACCAUGGCGACGAUCAGUAGCCGGACUGAGAGGUUGAACGGCCACAUUGGGACUGAGACACGGCCCAGACUCCUACGGGAGGCAGCAGUGGGGAAUAUUGCACAAUGGGGGAAACCCUGAUGCAGCGAUGCCGCGUGGAGGAAGAAGGUUUUCGGAUUGUAAACUCCUGUCCUAAGGGACGAUAAUGACGGUACCUUAGGAGGAAGCUCCGGCUAACUAUGUG
Molecule: ribosomal RNA, 477 nt
Filed under: uncultured bacterium
Lineage: Bacteria
Description: bacterial SSU rRNA
Rfam family: Bacterial small subunit ribosomal RNA
Source: RNAcentral